UGCAGCAGUGGGGAAUAUUGGGCAAUGGGCGAGUGCCUGAUCCAGCCAUAUAGUAAGAGUGAAAAACUUUAAUAAAACUCUAAAGAAAAGAAAAAUAAUGAUAUAACUUUUCUACUAAUCCUGACUAAUCUCGUGCCAGCAGUCGCGGUAAUACGAGGAGGAUAAGCGUAAUUCAUUAUAUCUAGGUGUAAAGGGUCUGUAGGCGGCUUCGAGCUAGAGUGAAAAAAAGGAAAGAGGAAUUAAAUAAGUAGGGAUAAAAUCCAUAAAGAUAUUUUAAGAAGAUCAAAGGCGAAGGCAUCUUUCUAUUUAACACUGACGCUAAGAGACUAAAGUGUGGGUAGCGAAAAGGAUUAGAUACCCCAUUAGUCCACAA
This 373-nucleotide ribosomal RNA is filed under the name Neoconidiobolus osmodes. Its description in RNAcentral is "SSU rRNA". It matches the Rfam family "Bacterial small subunit ribosomal RNA", at positions 347 to 800 of the family's 1533-position model. The record is from RNAcentral. Lineage: Eukaryota; Fungi; Entomophthoromycota; Entomophthoromycetes; Entomophthorales; Neoconidiobolaceae.